This 468-nucleotide ribosomal RNA is filed under the name uncultured bacterium. RNAcentral's name for it is "partial 16S ribosomal RNA". It matches the Rfam family "Bacterial small subunit ribosomal RNA", at positions 28 to 507 of the family's 1533-position model. The record is from RNAcentral.
GAUGAACGCUGGCGGCGUGCUUAACACAUGCAAGUCGAACGGAAAGGCCCAAGCUUGCUUGGGUACUCGAGUGGCGAACGGGUGAGUAACACGUGGGUGAUCUGCCCUUCACUUCGGGAUAAGCCUGGGAAACUGGGUCUAAUACCGGAUAGGACCACGUCUUGGAUGUUGUGGUGGAAAGUGUUUUCGGUGUGGGAUGAGCUCGCGGCCUAUCAGCUUGUUGGUGGGGUAAUGGCCUACCAAGGCGUCGACGGGUAGCCGGCCUGAGAGGGUGUACGGCCACAUUGGGACUGAGAUACGGCCCAGGCUCCUACGGGGGGCAGCAGUGGGGAAUAUUGCACAAUGGGCGCCAGCCUGAUGCAGCGACGCCGCGUGGGGGAUGACGGCCUUCGGGUUGUAAACUCCUUUCGCUAGGGACGAAGCGUUUUUGUGACGGUACCUGGAGAAGAAGCACCGGCUAACUACGUG